Molecule: ribosomal RNA, 47 nt
Filed under: Chenopodium album (lamb's quarters)
Lineage: Eukaryota; Viridiplantae; Streptophyta; Magnoliopsida; Caryophyllales; Amaranthaceae
Source: RNAcentral
GCGAUCAUACCAGCACUAAUGUAACGAUCCCAUCAGAACUCCGCAGU